This 433-nucleotide ribosomal RNA is filed under the name uncultured bacterium. RNAcentral describes it as "bacterial SSU rRNA". It matches the Rfam family "Bacterial small subunit ribosomal RNA", at positions 958 to 1392 of the family's 1533-position model. The record is from RNAcentral.
AACGCGAAGAACCUUACCUGGACUAGAAUGCGAGGGAAUGUUGGGUAACGCCAACAGCCGGUUUACCGGCCCGAAGCAAGGUGCUGCAUGGCUGUCGUCAGCUCGUGUCGUGAGAUGUUGGGUUAAGUCCCGCAACGAGCGCAACCCUUAUCAACAGUUGCCAUCAUUAAGUUGGGAACUCUGUUGAGACUGCCGUUGAUAAAACGGAGGAAGGUGGGGAUGAUGUCAAGUCAUCAUGGCCUUUAUGUUCAGGGCUACACACGUGCUACAAUGGACGGUACAGAACGUUGCUAUCCCGCGAGGGGGAGCUAAUCGCGAAAACCGUUCUCAGUUCGGAUUGGAGUCUGCAACUCGACUCCAUGAAGUUGGAAUCGCUACGUAAUCGCAAAUCAUCAUGUUGCGGUGAAUACUUUCCCGGGUCUUGUACACACCG